GAAGGCACUUGUCUAGACCGUUUYYMUUWAUCAAGAACGAAAGUGAGAGGUUCGAAGACGAUCAGAUACCGUCCUAGUUCUCACUGUAAACUAUGCCGACCUGGGAUUAGUUUGGGGAUAUUACAAGCUCUAGAUUAGUCCCCCUGGGAAACCUUAAGUUUUUCGGUUACGGGGAGAGUAUGGUCGCAAGGCUGAAACUUAAAGGAAUUGACGGAAGGGCACCACCAGGGGUGGAGCCUGCGGCUCAAUUUGACUCAACACGGGGAAACUUACCUGGUCCGGACAUCGAUAGGAUAGACAGACUGAUAGAUCUUUCUUGAUGCGAUGAGUGGUGGUGCAUGGCCGUUCUUAGUUCGUGGAGUGAUCUGUCAGGUUAAUUCCGGUAACGAACGAGACCACAGUCUCCAUUUAAGGCGCGUGAGAAGGGCUCUAAGAUGGGUGUGCUUUGCGGCGUGCUUUUUUUUAGUGGCCCGUUGGCAAAUCUUAUGAUUACGUUAUAGUUUAGCAAAAUGAGCAAUCACGAUGCGAAGAUUAUGGCGUACGAGUUGGAUUUCCCUUUCGUUUAGCAGUAGCUGGUUUCGAUUGGCUGCUGUCUUAUGGAGAGACAACGAGGUAUAUAUAAGCUCGAGGAAGAGUGGCUAUAACAGGUCAGUGAUGCCCUUCGAUGUUCAGGGCUGCACGCGCGCUACAAUGAUGACGACAGCAAGUAUCUGGGUCGAGAGACUUGGGGUAAUCUAUAAUCGUCAUCGUGAUGGGGAUUGACCGUUGUAACAUCGGUCAUGAAAGAGGAAUCCCCUAGUAUAUGUAUUUUAUUAGAAUACAUAGACUUAGUCCCUGCCCUUUGUACACACCGCCCGUCGCUACUACCGAGUGAAUGGUGUCAUGAUGCCUUGGGACUGGACGUGGAAUGGGCUCUCGGGUCUGCUCAACGCUGGGAUCAAUGUAAAAUGGCGCAAUUUCNAGGAAGUAA
This 970-nucleotide ribosomal RNA is filed under the name Myxobolus sp. 1 DDI-2006. RNAcentral's name for it is "bacterial SSU rRNA". It matches the Rfam family "Eukaryotic small subunit ribosomal RNA", at positions 958 to 1805 of the family's 1831-position model. Lineage: Eukaryota; Metazoa; Cnidaria; Myxozoa; Bivalvulida; Myxobolidae. RNAcentral also lists the same sequence under 1 other name. The record is from RNAcentral.